AUGGGCCGGGUCAGAAGCCCGCCCGCCAGCUGCUGGAGCCGCGACCAUGGAGGAGUCUGGCAUGUCUCAUGAAUCAGCAGAGGACUUGUUUCAUUUCAACGUAGGGGGCUGGCAUUUCUCAGUUCCCAGAAGCAAACUCUCUCAGUUUCCAGACUCCCUGCUGUGGAAAGAGGCUUCAGCCUUGACCUCUUCAGAAAGCCAGAGGCUAUUUAUCGACAGAGAUGGUUCCACAUUUAGGCACGUGCACUAUUACCUCUACACCUCCAAACUCUCCUUCUCCAGUUGUGCAGAACUGAACUUGCUGUAUGAGCAAGCAUUGGGUUUGCAGCUGAUGCCUUUGCUGCAGACUCUAGAUAACCUGAAGGAAGGGAAACACCAUCUACGCGUGCGGCCUGCAGACAUACCUGUUGCUGAGAGAGCAUCUCUGAACUACUGGCGUACGUGGAAGUGUAUUAGCAAACCCUCAGAGUUUCCAAUCAAAAGCCCCGCCUUCACAGGCCUACAUGAUAAGGCACCUCUGGGGCUCAUGGACACACCCCUGUUAGACACAGAAGAGGAGGUGCACUACUGCUUCCUGCCCCUAGACCUGGUGGCCAAAUAUCCCAGCCUAGUGACUGAAGACAACCUGCUGUGGCUGGCUGAGACGGUGGCCCUCAUCGAGUGCGAGUGCAGCGAGUUCCGCUUCAUUGGUGAUUGCUCUGUCCAGGGGUUGGGUGGGGGGUGGGCUGUUAGGACCCAUUCACCCCUCCCCAUCACAUGUCCCACAGAGGCCCAGCUUGGUGCUCAGGGCCUCAGGAGCUUCCCUGGGUAGAGGUGGCGGAAGUAUGACAGAGCCUUCCAGGAAGCAAGCAGAUUCCAGCAUUAGAAUCUCGCUAGACUCACGGCUAUUUUAUUCACUAUUUGUUUUGGGGUGGCCUGGCUGUAAAAGUGUCAGGCACUGGAAAGUGUCAGGGACCACAGGAGUUGGUGUGACGGGCAGGGAGCUCAGCUGGUUGCCAGUCGGCUUCUCUUCUUACUCUGCCCUUAUGUAUCCAACUGGCCUUCAGGCCUCAGUUCCUCUCACCAUAAAAUGAGGAAUCCAGAUUGUUUCAAAGAAUGGUGCUAGCUGCUCUUAAUGUCAGCAAACUCAGAAUAAAAGGGAAGGAGGGUGGAUGGUGACAGGUUCCCCCAGAGUCAUAGCAGAAUUGUCCACUUGAAGUAGUGACCUAAGGAAGGAUGAGAUUUUCCACCUUUGACAGAGAGAGCCUCUCUCCCCCUACUGCCCUAGGAUGAGCUCUGUUUGGGAUGUGAACUGAAUGAUCUCUUUGACCCCAAGAUGCUACUGCUGUCUAGAUAGAUAGGGCAGCAAACACUCAAGUUACACUAGGAGCCCAAAUGUCUGGAACCCCAGUCAUUCAUAUUCAUAGUCACCUAGAAAGUUGUCUGUGAUGUGCUUCUGUAUCUUUAAGUUGAUUCACACAGGACAUUAGCGUUGGCUCCAUCUCUGCCUCCCAUACUGCAGUCCAGGCAGGGACAAACUGCAAGUGCCACCCACCAGCCCAGGCUCGGCCGGGCCCCUCCUCUCUAAGCAGCAAGACAACUCCCUCUUUUGGAAUGACCUGCUCUUGGGUCAAGACUCACAGGGUAAGUCUCAGGGCCAGUGUGCCCACCAGGAGGGCCUGGCUUGGGAGCCCCAGGCCAUGCCACGGGAGGCCACACCCACGGCCUCAGACACAGGAAAACAAAGUAAUGUGGGGUCUUUCACCUUGAAAACCACACACUCAAAGCUAAUCUAAUAAGGUAUGUUGAUAAGUUGUUUCAGAACAAGGAGAACCUAGGAUAAGUUACAGCACCAGAAACCUGCCAAAACCAGGACCUACAGUUAAACCAGAAAUAGCCUCAUUAACUCACUGUGUUCCCCUUUGUUUUCCAAGUGAAUUUUCUUCGCUCACAGAAGAUUUUACUACCGGAUAAUUUCUCCAACAUUGAUGUAUUAGAAGCAGAAGUGGAAAUUCUGGAAAUCCCUGCACUCACUGAAGCUGUAAGGUGGUACCGGAUGAACAUGGGUGGCUGUUCCCGGACCACCUGUUCUCCCCUGAGCCCCGGGAAGGGGGCCCGCACAGCCAGCCUGGAGUCCAUGAAACCGCUCUACACAAUGGCCCUGGGUCUGCUGGUCAAGUACCCGGACUCUGCGCUGGGCCAGCUUCGCAUCGAGAGCACGCUAGACGGAAGCCGACUGUACAUCACAGGGAACGGCGUCCUCUUUCAGCACGUCAAGAACUGGCUGGGGACUUGCCGGCUGCCCCUGACAGAGACCAUUUCCGAGGUAUAUGAGCUCUGUGCCUUCCUAGACAAAAGGGACAUCACCUACGAGCCAAUGAAAGUGGCUUUGAAGACUCAUCUGGAGCCAAGGACUUUGGCACCCAUGGAUGUGCUCAAUGAGUGGACAGCAGAGAUCACCGUGUAUUCCCCACAACAGAUCAUCAAAGUGUAUGUUGGAAGCCACUGGUAUGCAACCACCCUGCAGACACUGCUGAAGUAUCCAGAACUGCUGUCCAACCCUCAGAGAGUGUACUGGAUCAGAUAUGGACAAACCCUGCUCAUCCACGGGGAUGGCCAGAUGUUCCGACACAUUCUCAACUUCCUGAGACUUGGCAAACUGUUUUUACCAUCUGAAUUUAAGGAAUGGCCCCUCUUCUGCCAGGAGGUGGAGGAAUACCACAUUCCAUCCCUCUCAGAAGCCCUUGCACAAUGUGAAGGAUACAAGUCAUGGACUCAGGAGAAAGAAUCUGAAAAUGAAGAAGCUUUUCCCAUCAGGAGGCUGCACGUGGUGACAGAAGGGCCAGGGUCACUGGUGGAGUUCAGUAGAGACACUAAAGAAACCACAGCCUACAUGCCUGUGGGCUUCGAAGACUGCAGUGAUAGGACUCCAUGGAACAAGGCUAAGGGAAACCUGGCCAGGUCCAACCAGAUGGAGGAGGCUGAGCAGUACACUCGGCCCAUCCAGGUGUCCCUAUGCCGAAAUGCCAAGAGAGCUGGCAACCCUAGCACAUACUCACACUGCCCUGGCUUGUGUACCAAUCCUGGACACUGGGGGAGCCACCCUGAGAGCCCCCCAAAGAAGAAAUGCACCACAAUCAACCUCACACAGAAAUCUGAAACCAAAGACCCUCCCGCCACUCCCAUGCAAAAACUCAUCUCCCUGGUGAGAGAAUGGGACAUGGUCAGUUGCAAACAGUGGGAAUUCCAGCCACUGACAGCCUCCCGGAGCAGCCCUUUGGAGGAGGCCACCCUGCAGCUCCCCUUGGGAAGCGAGGCUGCUUCCCAGCCUAGCACCUCAGCUGCCUGGAAAGCCCAUUCCACAGCCUCAGAGAAGGAUCCAGGACCACAGGCAGGGGCUGGAGCUGGAGUGAAAGACAAGGGGCCAGAGCCAACCUUCAAGCCAUACUUCCCCCCAAAAAGAGCCAGCACCCUGAAGGACUGGAGCAAGCAGAGGACCAAGGAGAGAGAAAGCCCUGCCCCUGAGCAGCCUCUGCCCGAGGCCAGUGAGGUGGACAGCCUAGGGGUUAUCCUCAAAGUGACUCACCCCCCCGUGGUGGGCAGCGAUGGCUUCUGCAUGUUCUUUGAGGACAGCAUCAUCUACACCACGCAGAUGGACAACCUCAGGCACACACCACCCACAGCCAGUCCCCAGCCCCAAGAAGUGACUUUCCUGAGUUUCUCUCUGUCCUGGGAAGAGAUGUUUUAUGCGCAGAAAUGUCACGGCUUCCUGGCUGACAUCAUCCUGGAUUCCAUCAGGCAAAAGGACCCCAAAGCCAUCACAGCCAAGGUGGUCUCCCUGGCCAAUCGGCUGUGGACCCUGCACAUCAGCCCCAAGCAGUUUGUGGUAGAUUUGCUGGCCAUCACUGGCUUCAAGGACGACCGGCACACCCAGGAGUGCCUGUACAGCUGGGUGGAGCUUACACUGCCCUUCGCCAAGAAAUAUGGCCACUGCAUGGACCUGCUCAUCCAGAGGGGCCUGUCUAGGUCUGUCUCGUACUUCAUCCUGGGAAAGUACCUACAAGAGGACUAGGGUGCCCAGAGAUGCAGCCCCUCGUGCCCCACCCGCCAAGUCUCAUUUUAAUUGAAGAUAGCCCCAGAAUGCAUGUGCCCAUCAGAGGGUACAUAUCAGUCUAUUUUUUAUUAUAAACAAAUAAAAGAUUAAAUCAC
Molecule: small RNA, 4188 nt
Filed under: Pongo abelii (Sumatran orangutan)
Lineage: Eukaryota; Metazoa; Chordata; Mammalia; Primates; Hominidae
Description: retained intron
Source: RNAcentral